GACGAACGCUGGCGGCAUGCCUAAUACAUGCAAGUCGAGCGAACAGAUGAGGUGCUUGCACUUCUGACGUUAGCGGCGAACGGGUGAGUAACACGUAAGGAAUCUACCUAUAAGCGGGGGAUAACAUUCGGAAACGGGUGCUAAUACCGCAUAAUAUCUUCUUCCGCAUGGAAGAAGAUUGAAAGACGGCUCUGCUGUCACUUAUAGAUGACCUUGCGGUGCAUUAGUUAGUUGGUGGGGUAACGGCCUACCAAGACGAUGAUGCAUAGCCGACCUGAGAGGGUGAUCGGCCACAUUGGGACUGAGACACGGCCCAAACUCCUACGGGAGGCAGCAGUAGGGAAUCUUCCGCAAUGGGCGAAAGCCUGACGGAGCAAUGCCGCGUGAGUGAAGAAGGCCUUCGGGUCGUAAAACUCUGUUAUAAGAGAAGAACAAAUUGUAGAGUAACUGCUACAGUCUUGACGGUAUCUUAUCAGAAAGCCACGGCUAACUACGUGCCAGCCGCCGCAUAA
This 512-nucleotide ribosomal RNA is filed under the name uncultured bacterium. Its description in RNAcentral is "partial 16S ribosomal RNA". It matches the Rfam family "Bacterial small subunit ribosomal RNA", at positions 28 to 522 of the family's 1533-position model. The record is from RNAcentral.